RNAcentral lists this ribosomal RNA (468 nucleotides) under uncultured bacterium. RNAcentral's name for it is "partial 16S ribosomal RNA". It matches the Rfam family "Bacterial small subunit ribosomal RNA", at positions 28 to 507 of the family's 1533-position model. The record is from RNAcentral.
GACGAACGCUGGCGGCGUGCUUAACACAUGCAAGUCGAACGGAAAGACCCUGCUUUUGUGGGGUGCUCGAGUGGCGAACGGGUGAGUAACACGUGAGUAACCUGCCCUUGACUUUGGGAUAACUUCAGGAAACUGGGGCUAAUAUCGGAUAGGAGCUCCUGCUGCAUGGUGUGGGUUGGAAAGUUUCGGCGGUUGGGGAUGGAUUCGCGGCUUAUCAGCUUGUUGGUGGGGUAGUGGCUUACCAAGGCUUUGACGGGUAGCCGGCCUGAGAGGUUGACCGGCGACAAUGGGACUGGGAGACGGCCCAGACUCCUACGGGCGGCAACAGGGGGGAAUAUUGCACAAUGGGGCGAAGCCAGAUGCAGCAACCCCGCGUGCGGGAUGCCCGGCUUCGGGUUGUAAACCGAUUUCGCCUGUGACGAAGCGUGGGUGACGGUAAUGGGCAAAGAAGCACCGGCUAACUACGUG